UUGAUUGAUUCAAAUGUUUACUCCGACGCAAAGAUGCAGGGUUGGGGUUCCGCGGGGGGCCCCGAGCCCGAAGGCCGGGUCGCCCCCCGAGGCAACAGAGUGGUUUCACAAAGGGUUGGAGGUCGGGCCGGGGGCCCUCACUCAGUAAUGAUCCCUCCGCAGGUUCACCUACGGAGA
Molecule: unclassified non-coding RNA, 177 nt
Filed under: uncultured fungus
Lineage: Eukaryota; Fungi
Description: sequence contains ITS1
Source: RNAcentral